GCUUGGGUGUGAUAGCACAUGCUUAUAAUCCCUGCUCCUAGGGAGGCUGGUUUUGGUGGAUUGCCAGAGCUCAGGCAUUUGGAGUUAUAACGGGCUGAGAUGAUGGGGUGUCUGCACUAAUCUGGCACCAAUAUGGUGAGCCCCUGGAAGCAGGGGGCCAUCAGGCUGCCCAAAGAGAAGAAAACCAGCCAAUGUUGGAAACGGAGAAGGCCAACACUUCCAUGCUGCCCAGGGCCAGUGCACUUCCAGUCCUGGUGAGAUGGGGAGACUCAGUCUCCA
RNAcentral lists this signal recognition particle RNA (279 nucleotides) under Vombatus ursinus (common wombat). RNAcentral's name for it is "Metazoan signal recognition particle RNA (ENSVURG00010020538.1)". It matches the Rfam family "Metazoan signal recognition particle RNA". Rfam says of the family: The signal recognition particle (SRP) is a universally conserved ribonucleoprotein. It is involved in the co-translational targeting of proteins to membranes. Lineage: Eukaryota; Metazoa; Chordata; Mammalia; Diprotodontia; Vombatidae. The record is from Rfam by way of RNAcentral.